RNAcentral lists this non-coding RNA (21 nucleotides) under Arabidopsis thaliana (thale cress). Lineage: Eukaryota; Viridiplantae; Streptophyta; Magnoliopsida; Brassicales; Brassicaceae. The record is from RNAcentral.
CAUCAUGUUUCACACAUUGAA